Molecule: transfer RNA, 100 nt
Filed under: Morchella conica CCBAS932
Lineage: Eukaryota; Fungi; Ascomycota; Pezizomycetes; Pezizales; Morchellaceae
Rfam family: tRNA
About the family: Transfer RNA (tRNA) molecules are approximately 80 nucleotides in length. Their secondary structure includes four short double-helical elements and three loops (D, anti-codon, and T loops).
Source: Rfam by way of RNAcentral
GGUUCCAUGGCUCAGUUGGUUAGCGCGUGGUGCUAAUAUCAUACCUCACAAGGAUUGAAUGUUAACGCCAAGGUCGAGGGUUCGACCCCCUCUGGAACCA